This 327-nucleotide ribosomal RNA is filed under the name uncultured eukaryote. Its description in RNAcentral is "partial 18S ribosomal RNA". It matches the Rfam family "Eukaryotic small subunit ribosomal RNA", at positions 1470 to 1796 of the family's 1831-position model. The record is from RNAcentral.
CCCUUAGAUGUUCUGGGCUGCACGCGCGCUACACUGAAGCGUUCAACGAGUAUUUCACCUUGCCCGGGAGGGUUGGGUAAUCUUUUUAAAACGCUUCGUGAUGGGGAUAGAUUAUUGCAAUUAUUAAUCUUCAACGAGGAAUUCCUAGUAAGCGCGAGUCAUCAGCUCGUGCUGAUUACGUCCCUGCCCUUUGUACACACCGCCCGUCGCUCCGACCGAUUGAGUGAUCCGGUGAAUAAUUCGGACUGCAGCAGUGCUUGGUCCUCCGGGCUUUGCAGCGGAAAGUUUAGUGAACCUUAUCACUUAGAGGAAGGAGAAGUCGUAACA